UCAUCCAGAUGAUCCAUUUGGAU
This 23-nucleotide small nuclear RNA is filed under the name Arabidopsis thaliana (thale cress). RNAcentral describes it as "snRNA_07027". Lineage: Eukaryota; Viridiplantae; Streptophyta; Magnoliopsida; Brassicales; Brassicaceae. The record is from RNAcentral.